Molecule: long non-coding RNA, 1430 nt
Organism: Cyprinus carpio (common carp)
Lineage: Eukaryota; Metazoa; Chordata; Actinopteri; Cypriniformes; Cyprinidae
Source: Ensembl
GCUAUAUGUAUUAUAUUUCAUUUAAAAUUCGCAUUUAUUUGGUUAUGUAUGUUUUUGUGAUGCCUUGACAAUUAAAAAAAAAAAGGAAAUCUUGAAAUGUACCAUGUUUUCCACUGAGCGGCGCUACGCCCUAAUAAAAUCUCCUAGGUUGGAGAGAAAUCUUGAAGAAUUGUGCUGCUUUUUUCUGUUUCUUUAACGUUAACGACGACUCUUUUAGCUCUUUUAACCAAGAAAAAAGCGUGAGAAAAUAUACAGAUCUCAAGGACUAAUAUAUUCAGAUUUUGUGCACUUUUUUCUUUUAAAUUUAUUGCAAAAUUUCUAGCAAGCAGUCAGAUUCUCUUGCACUCAACGCAUUGAUCUGUAAAACGACGGAGCUCCCAGUGAACAGCACGUGAAACAUCAGAUAAGCAGAUCCUGUACACUUUAUUGUCGUUUGGACAGCAGUAGCAGAGGCAGAUCAUUUCCCAUCUGUCAAGUCAACCAUGGCAAAUCAUGGUUAGAAAGUGUAUUGUGUACGUUUUGAUCUAGAUGUUAACAAAAGAUGGGAAGCAUAUGAGACCUCUCAUAAAAGAGAUUUAAUCUAUAGAUCCAUCUCAUGUCUUCCAAUUCUAAGGCCAAAAAAAUCUGGCAAUAUCUAUAGAAAUUCAUUUGCACUGGAUGAUUCGGUGGAAGCAACUACAUACAGUGAAGAUUUCUGCUGGAAGCCUGUGUCAAAGACAGCUUGCAUAAGGUCUGCCACAGCAUCAGGAAACCGAAGGCGUUCAUGGUAUGGAGGCAUUCUGCAGAUCAAAUGAAAUGUUUUAGUGGUAGUUCCCCUCUUCAGCUCCCUUUGACUGAGAAGGAAAUCUAAAAGGCUGUAAGUGCCCAGUACAGGUCGACCUACAGGACUGACUUUCUUGGAUUACCUCAAGGUGAAUUUUAGGAAUUAUUGCACAGACAAUUGUUUAUACAUUUCAAAGCCAUUUGAAUCUUAUUUAAUAUCAAGGUCUUGUGAUUCCAAAGAUUAUUAUAUGUCAUGUUAUAACAACUUUUUAUGUUCUGUCUAAAUCACAGGAAUUAUGAAAAACCAUGCGACCUUUGCACCUUGUAACCGCAGCCAUGUUGUCCACUACUAUACCUAGACUGAAAUAAGACAUAACUACCACCCACCCAAACUGAAACUUGAGCUUCUGGGGAACAACUCUCGCUAUGGGUGCAAUAAGCUGCAUGGUGUAGCAGCGAGGGGUAUUGGUAAGCUUCUACUAAACUGUUACGUUUCUGUUUGUGUGCAUUGGGGAUGAAAGACCAAACUACUUUGUUUGAAACUGAUAUGACAGCAAUCCCCUGCAGUAGUCUAGACACAAUGUAAUCACAAAGGAGUAGACUGGACACACAAUGAUCAGAUUUAAAGGAAUAGUUUGGAGAAAUUCAGCAUUACAUCACUUGCUCAC